Nycticebus coucang (slow loris) is the source of this 603-nucleotide RNA transcript. It is a transcript of the gene named 40S ribosomal protein S24-like, with no coding region annotated. The transcript has 2 exons. The record is from RefSeq and is a predicted model, not a curated record. NCBI's taxonomy places the organism in Eukaryota, Metazoa, Chordata, Mammalia, Primates, Lorisidae.
CCAUCAUGAAUGACACAGUAACUAUCCGGACCAGGAAGUUCAUGACUAACCGACUACUUCAGAGGAAACAAAUGGUCAUUGAUGUCCUUCACCCUGGGAAGGCAACAGUACCAAAGACAGAAAUUAGAGAAAAACUAGCCAAAAUGUUUGGCUAGAAAAACUAGCCAAAAUCAGACCACACCUGAUGUCAUCUUUGUAUUUGGAUUCAGAACUCACUUUGGUGGUGGGAAGACAACAGGUCUUGGCAAGAUUUACGAUUCUUUGGAUUAUGCAAAGAAAAAUGAACCCAAACAUAGACUUGCAAGGCAUGGCCUGUAUGACAAGAAAAAGACAUCAAGAAAGCAGCAAAAGGAACACAAGAACAGAAUGAAGAAAGUCAGGGGGCCUGCAAAGGCUAAUAUUGGUGCUAGCAAAGGGCGGCGCCUUUCUUCCCCCCUGCCCACCCCUGCUUCUUGUUCUGUGUCCAGUAAGAGAUCACAAUCCCCAAAGUCAUCAAGGAUAAGAUGUCCAAAGUCAUACCCUCCCCCUUCUGCUUUCAACAAAUGUAUUAGGUACGAGAAUUACCUGGCAAAAAGGACACAACUGCCCCCCCAGGUCCCCUAG